Molecule: long non-coding RNA, 640 nt
Filed under: Equus caballus (horse)
Lineage: Eukaryota; Metazoa; Chordata; Mammalia; Perissodactyla; Equidae
Description: lncRNA (ENSECAG00000056770.1)
Source: RNAcentral
CUCGGGGAUGGCGGAUGAAUGGGGGUUAGCGUCCAACCUCCUUUCUCCGCUUCAGCCCCGCCCGCCCUGCUAUUCUCCUAGCCGCUUCUCCCGCACAACCUACCGGGGGAGAGGCGGGGGCUGGGGCUCCGGCCGCCCUAGGAGAUCCUCCCCUCCUCCCGCCUGCUUCCCCGCCUCGCUCCCUCUCCCGUCUUUUCUCUUUCCUCCUCUCUCCUCCCCACACCACCCCCGCCACUGGCCCCUCCCCGCCCUCUCCCACCUCCCUCCUCCCUCCCCCCUCCUCCCUCCGCGCCUGGGCCGCUGAAGGCUGAGUCAUCGCUGCGGCGCUGCCGGGAGAGCAGGCGAGCAGCUCACAUCCCACCGCGAUGUGGCCGACAGGAUUCCGGACUUUCGGGAGAAUAUGGUGGAAACUGGAGCUGUUCGCCGUGCACGGGGGUCCGCAGAUGUUUUUUGAUUGACCACUCAGUGCUAGGCACUGUGUUUGCUGCUGAGUGCUGGGCAGAGUGGGGAACAAGUUCCUAGCUCCUGCCCAUGAGGAGCUCACCGGGCAAAACAAAUACACCGUCUGACCAGCUGUCCCUCUGGCCUGCAGCCUGUGAGCAGCUGCAAGUUUACAGCUUUGACAUCCGCUUGAAAGAAC